Molecule: non-coding RNA, 273 nt
Organism: Vicia faba (fava bean)
Lineage: Eukaryota; Viridiplantae; Streptophyta; Magnoliopsida; Fabales; Fabaceae
Source: the annotation of a GenBank genome assembly
AUGAUAGUUGCAAAGACAUUUUCCUUUGGAAAUUCAAAUUCAUCGUUGAUAUCUCUUCUUCUAAUUUCAUCUUCCCUUUACUUCUUCUCUAUCUCUCCACUCCUCGCCAAAUCUUCUCCUCACCCAAUCUCUGAUGUUCAAGUUAGGAGCAACAAGCUUCAAUGCUAUGCUGAUAUUGACAGUGAAAGUAGUAUGUUUAUGUCUGUGGUUGUGUCCACCAACAAACGCAUAGAGUAUUGUUUUAUAUGGCUUUCCUUCAACGUUAAGCAUUAA